Molecule: ribosomal RNA, 508 nt
Filed under: uncultured bacterium
Lineage: Bacteria
Description: partial 16S ribosomal RNA
Rfam family: Bacterial small subunit ribosomal RNA
Source: RNAcentral
AUUGAACGCUGGCGGCAGGCCUAACACAUGCAAGUCGAGCGGCAGCGGGAAAGUAGCUUGCUACUUUUGCCGGCGAGCGGCGGACGGGUGAGUAAUGCCUGGGAAAUUGCCCAGUCGAGGGGGAUAACAGUUGGAAACGACUGCUAAUACCGCAUACGCCCUACGGGGGAAAGCAGGGGACCUUCGGGCCUUGCGCGAUCGGAUAUGCCCAGGUGGGAUUAGCUAGUUGGUGAGGUAAUGGCUCACCAAGGCGACGAUCCCUAGCUGGUCUGAGAGGAUGAUCAGCCACACUGGAACUGAGACACGGUCCAGACUCCUACGGGAGGCAGCAGUGGGGAAUAUUGCACAAUGGGGGAAACCCUGAUGCAGCCAUGCCGCGUGUGUGAAGAAGGCCUUCGGGUUGUAAAGCACUUUCAGCGAGGAGGAAAGGUUGAUGCCUAAUACGUAUCAACUGUGACGUUACUCGCAGAAGAAGCACCGGCUAACUCCGUGCCAGCCGCCGCUGUAA